This is a long non-coding RNA of Brassica oleracea var. oleracea, 484 nucleotides long. RefSeq lists it as uncharacterized. The transcript is spliced from 2 exons. The record is from RefSeq and is a predicted model, not a curated record. Lineage: Eukaryota; Viridiplantae; Streptophyta; Magnoliopsida; Brassicales; Brassicaceae.
GCUUAAUUAAACAUUUUAGGACCUUAUAUUAUAACACAAACAAACCAAUCUCGUUAUCAGGAAACAAAUUGUAUCCGCUCAGCUGAACGGUGAACAAGUUGACCAUUCCAUCCUCCAAUCUGCCUUGUCACUAAUAGGAGGACCCCUACAAAAAUCAUGUUCGGCCUACGAACAAGUAGAUGACUGCAACGAUUGCGACAAAGAGUGCAAAAUUAGUGGCAGUGACUUCUGGGGAGAGUGUAGUAUGUGGCCGUUCCGUGAUUGCUACUGCUAUUGGAAAUGUUGAUAGCCAAAUCAUGAUCAUAUAUAAAUAUAUAUAAUAUCAAAUCCCCGUAUGUGCUUGCUCUGUGUUUUGGAUGCGUUUCUAUUUUACCAUGUUUGAUAGCUAUUCAGCUAUUCUGUUCGUUUGUCUGUUUCUCUUGUGUUCGUGGUAAACUGGUAAUCCAGGGUUCUUGUUGAUGUUUAAUGAAUACCUUUGUGCAUU